GACGAACGCUGGCGGCGUGCUUAACACAUGCAAGUCGAGCGAAUCGGCGGACGGGUGGGUAACACGUGAGUAACCUGCCUUAGACAUUGGGAUAGCCUCGGGAAACCGGGAUUAAUACCAAAUGGUCUAAGAUGGGCUCGCCUCCCAUUAGCCAGUUGGUGAGGUAACGGCCCCCCAAGGCGACGAUGGGUAGCCGGCAUGAGAGGGGGGACGGACACAUUGGAAGUGAGAAACGGUCGAAACUCUACGGGAGGCAGCAGUGGGGAAUACAGCACAAGGGAGGGAACGCGGAUGCAGCGACGCCGCGUAAACGAAGAAGGCGUUCGAGUCGUAAAGUGCUUUUAUAUGGGAAGCGGUACCAUAAGAAAAAGCCCCGGCUAACUACGUGCCAGCAGCCGCGGUAAUAC
This 407-nucleotide ribosomal RNA is filed under the name uncultured bacterium. RNAcentral's name for it is "partial 16S ribosomal RNA". It matches the Rfam family "Bacterial small subunit ribosomal RNA", at positions 28 to 526 of the family's 1533-position model. The record is from RNAcentral.